CCUGAGCUAUUAACCCAAUCAGAGCACUAAGAAAAGACAGUAAAUAUACUAGCCCUAGGUAAAAUUUAAAUCUAGAUGUAUUUAGCCACUGUAACUUUAAAUCUCAAGAUAUAAACAAGGAUUAGAUACCCUUCUAUACUAGAGACCCCUAUAGCAGGGUAGUAACUAGCUAUGUUCUUCAAACCCAAAGGAUUUGGCGGUGCUCUAUCUAAUUAGAGGAACCUGUAGGGUAAACGUAAUUACGCGCUUAAACUUUCCACAGUUCAGCUUGUAUACCGUCGUCUUGACAGGUUUAAAAGAAUCUAUCCCAAGGAGCUAUAAGAAUGGCAGAUCAAGGUGCAGCGUACUAUGGUCCAUAUGGGUUACAAUCUAAAUAAAGUUGGACAGGUAAUUUAACCCACCUUGAAAGAGGAUUUAACAGUAACUUAGGUUUAAUACACCUAUUUGAAGCUGCUAUAGAGCACGCACAUAUCGCCCGUCACUCUCAUCUAGU
This 493-nucleotide ribosomal RNA is filed under the name Ligia dentipes. RNAcentral's name for it is "partial small subunit ribosomal RNA". Lineage: Eukaryota; Metazoa; Arthropoda; Malacostraca; Isopoda; Ligiidae. The record is from RNAcentral.